RNAcentral lists this ribosomal RNA (402 nucleotides) under bacterium. RNAcentral describes it as "partial 16S ribosomal RNA". It matches the Rfam family "Bacterial small subunit ribosomal RNA", at positions 355 to 776 of the family's 1533-position model. The record is from RNAcentral.
UGGGGAAUUUUGCACAAUGGGGGAAACCCUGAUGCAGCGACGCCGCGUGAUUUAGAAGGCCUUCGGGUUGUAAAAAUCUUUUUUACGGGAUGAAAAUGACAGUACCGUAAGAAUAAGGUCCGGCUAAAUACGUGCCAGCAGCCGCGGUAAUACGUAUGGACCGAGCGUUGUCCGGAAUCAUUGGGCGUAAAGGGUACGUAGGCGGCCUAGUAAGUUAGAAGUGAAAUAAUAUAGCUCAACUAUAUAAAGCUUUUAAAACUGCUAGGCUUGAGAGACGGAAGGGAAAGUGGAAUUCCUAGUGUAGCGGUGAAAUGCGCAGAUAUUAGGAAGAAUACCGGUGGCGAAGGCGACUUUCUGGUCAUCAUCUGACGCUGAAGUACGAAAGCGUGGGUAGCAAACAGG